Long non-coding RNA from Cynocephalus volans (Philippine flying lemur), 520 nucleotides. RefSeq lists it as uncharacterized. The record is from RefSeq and is a predicted model, not a curated record. NCBI's taxonomy places the organism in Eukaryota, Metazoa, Chordata, Mammalia, Dermoptera, Cynocephalidae. The transcript has 2 exons.
UUAGGGGCACUCGGGCCCCGAGGCGUAUGGCGAGAGUUCGCGUUACACAAGAGGUGUGAUCCCGGCCCAAGAUUGGCAGUUGGGAGAGCUAGUACGGAGAGUUGGGCUGUCUGAACCCUGAUUUGAUGUGUCUUCCGCCGACUCCUGUAAUCCCCUUCAGAAGACGUUGGUCGCAUUUCCUCCAUGCUGUCCGCCUACCCAGCUCUCCGCGGGAUUUCCCGCUCUUCGGGCCCUGGCGCGGUUUCCUCCUUCGUGUUCUGUCGAGGGCUCCAUGACAUGGGCAGUAAUGGGUGCGCUGCAGUGGGUCUGAGCCGGCACCGUGGUCGAGUCCAUUCGCUUCAGCCAACCUGGCUCGUUUGCUGAGAAAUGUUGGUGGGUUUUAGUCUGUAAGAAAGUCUUCAAGUUUCCUCAAAGUUAAGGUGUCAAAUUUGUAUCUCAAUCUACAUCCUUUCCCACCUUCUCCUGCUCUCUUCCUGUUUAUCCUUCACAGAUAUUCCCCCAAUAAAUCUGUUAUAUGUUA